RNAcentral lists this ribosomal RNA (319 nucleotides) under uncultured Pseudomonadota bacterium. RNAcentral's name for it is "bacterial SSU rRNA". It matches the Rfam family "Bacterial small subunit ribosomal RNA", at positions 30 to 351 of the family's 1533-position model. Lineage: Bacteria; Pseudomonadati; Pseudomonadota. The record is from RNAcentral.
AUUGAACGCUGGCGGUAUGCUUAACACAUGCAAGUCGAACGGUAGCAGGUCUUCGGAUGCUGACGAGUGGCGGACGGGUGAGUAACGCGUAGGAAUCUGCCUAUUAGUGGGGGACAACGUGUGGAAACGCACGCUAAUACCGCAUACGCCCUACGGGGGAAAGGAGGGGAUCUUCGGACCUUUCGCUAAUAGAUGAGCCUGCGUAGGAUUAGCUAGUUGGUGGGGUAAAGGCUCACCAAGGCGACGAUCCUUAGCUGUUCUGAGAGGAAGAUCAGCCACACUGGGACUGAGACACGGCCCAGACUCCUACGGGUGGCUG